RNAcentral lists this ribosomal RNA (375 nucleotides) under uncultured bacterium. Its description in RNAcentral is "bacterial SSU rRNA". It matches the Rfam family "Bacterial small subunit ribosomal RNA", at positions 521 to 896 of the family's 1533-position model. The record is from RNAcentral.
UAAUACGUAGGGGGCGAGCGUUGUCCGGAAUGACUGGGCGUAAAGCGCGCGCAGGCGGCGCGCCGCGCCGGCCGUGAAAGCCCCCGGCUCAACCGGGGCACGUCGGCCGGGACGGGCGCGCUGGAGGGUGUCAGAGGGGGGUGGAAUGCCGCGUGGAGCAGUGAAAUGCGUAGAGAUGCGGCGGAACACCGGCGGCGAAGGCGGCCCCCUGGGGCACAACUGACGCUGAGGCGCGAAGGCUAGGGGAGCGAACGGGAUUAGAUACCCCGGUAGUCCUAGCAGUAAACGAUGGGCGCUGGCUGUCGGCGGUUUGACCCCGUCGGUGGCUGAGCUAACGCGCAAGCGCCCCGCCUGGGGAGUACGGCCGCAAGGCUA